Molecule: ribosomal RNA, 541 nt
Filed under: uncultured Gallionellaceae bacterium
Lineage: Bacteria; Pseudomonadati; Pseudomonadota; Betaproteobacteria; Nitrosomonadales; Gallionellaceae
Description: bacterial SSU rRNA
Rfam family: Bacterial small subunit ribosomal RNA
Source: RNAcentral
AGUGGGGGAUAACGUAGCGAAAGUUACGCUAAUACCGCAUAUGCCCUGAGGGGGAAAGGAGGGGAUCGUAAGACCUUUCGCUUUCGGAGUGGCCGAUAUCAGAUUAGCUAGUUGGUGGGGUAAAGGCCUACCAAGGCGACGAUCUGUAGCGGGUCUGAGAGGAUGAUCCGCCACACUGGGACUGAGACACGGCCCAGACUCCUACGGGAGGCAGCAGUGGGGAAUUUUGGACAAUGGGGGCAACCCUGAUCCAGCCGUGCCGCGUGAGUGAGGAAGGCCUUCGGGUUGUAAAGCUCUUUCGGACGGAAAGAAAUCCUAUUCGCUAAUACCGGGUGGGGAUGACGGUACCGUAAGAAGAAGCACCGGCUAACUACGUGCCAGCAGCCGCGGUAAUACGUAGGGUGCGAGCGUUAAUCGGAAUUACUGGGCGUAAAGCGUGCGCAGGCGGUUUUGUAAGACAGAUGUGAAAUCCCCGGGCUUAACCUGGGAACUGCAUUUGUGACUGCAAGGCUAGAGUGCGGCAGAGGGGGGUAGAAUUCCA